RNAcentral lists this long non-coding RNA (213 nucleotides) under Vigna radiata. RNAcentral's name for it is "long non-coding RNA (VRAD_LNC012192)". The record is from RNAcentral. Lineage: Eukaryota; Viridiplantae; Streptophyta; Magnoliopsida; Fabales; Fabaceae.
GCAAAACCUAAAUAAAGAGGGGCAGCUGUCAACACCCAAUUUCGUCCGGGAAAGUAAAUAAUCAAAAUUAAAUAAUAAGAGAAUAAUAAUUAAUGGUGGGUAAAGAAAAAAAGGAAAAAAAAUAAAAUAAAAUAAUCUUCCUUAAUGCAGGACACGUCACUUUAGAAUGUUUUUGAAAUAUUAGUUUAAUAUGGUAAUAAUUUGAAUUAUAUU